CCCUUAGAUGUUCUGGGCCGCACGCGCGCUACACUGAUGCUUUCAACGAGCCUAUCCUUGACCGACAGGUCCGGGUAAUCUUUGAAUCUGCAUCGUGACGGGGAUAGAUUAUUGCAAUUAUUAAUCUUCAACGAGGAAUGCCUAGUAGGCGCAAGUCAUCAGCUUGCGUCGAUUACGUCCCUGCCCUUUGUACACACCGCCCGUCGCUCCUACCGAUUGGGUGUGCUGGUGAAAUGUUCGGAUCGGCCGUUUGUCGCGGUUUCCGCGUCAUGUGGCUGAGAAGUUCAUUAAACCCUCCCACCUAGAGGAAGGAGAAGUCGUAACA
This 325-nucleotide ribosomal RNA is filed under the name uncultured eukaryote. RNAcentral's name for it is "partial 18S ribosomal RNA". It matches the Rfam family "Eukaryotic small subunit ribosomal RNA", at positions 1470 to 1796 of the family's 1831-position model. The record is from RNAcentral.